This 503-nucleotide ribosomal RNA is filed under the name uncultured bacterium. Its description in RNAcentral is "partial 16S ribosomal RNA". It matches the Rfam family "Bacterial small subunit ribosomal RNA", at positions 30 to 523 of the family's 1533-position model. The record is from RNAcentral.
AUUGAACGCUGGCGGCAGGCUUAACACAUGCAAGUCGAGCGGGGUGAUGGUGCUUGCACUAUCACUUAGCGGCGGACGGGUGAGUAAUGCUUAGGAAUCUGCCUAUUAGUGGGGGACAACAUCUCGAAAGGGAUGCUAAUACCGCAUACGUCCUACGGGAGAAAGCAGGGGAUCACUUGUGACCUUGCGCUAAUAGAUGAGCCUAAGUCGGAUUAGCUAGUUGGUGGGGUAAAGGCCUACCAAGGCGACGAUCUGUAGCGGGUCUGAGAGGAGGAUCCGCCACACUGGGACUGGGACACGGCCUAGACUCCUACGGGAGGCAGCAGUGGGGAAUAUUGGACAAUGGGGGGAACCCUGAUCCAGCCAUGCCGCGUGUGUGAAGAAGGCCUUAUGGUUGUAAAGCACUUUAAGCGAGGAGGAGGCUCUUUUGGUUAAUACCCAAGAUGAGUGGACGUUACUCGCAGAAUAAGCACCGGCUAACUCUGUGCCAGCCGCCGCCGUAA